GACGAACGCUGGCGGCGUGCUUAACACAUGCAAGUCGAACGGAGAUUAUUAAUGAAGCUUGCGAUUUAAUAAUCUUAGUGGCGGACGGGUGAGUAACGCGUGGGCAACCUACCCAUAAGCGGGGGAUAACAGUUGGAAACGACUGCUAAUACCGCAUAAGCUAUUAAGGUCACAUGACCUUAAUAGUAAAGGUGGCGAUUUUACAUUGCUAUCACUUAUGGAUGGGCCCGCGUCUGAUUAGCUAGUUGGUGGGAUAGCAGCCUACCAAGGCAACGAUCAGUAGCCGGCCUGAGAGGGUGACGGCCAACGACUCGGGACUGAGACACGGCCCAGACUCCUACGGGAGGCAGCAGUGGGGAAUAUUGCGCAAUGGGGGAAACCCUGACGCAGCGACGCCGCGUGAGCGAAGAAGGCCUUAAGGGUCGUAAAGCUCUGUUGUAAGGGACGAAUGUUUAUCUGGCGAACAGUCAGAUAAAGUGACGGUACCUUACCAGCAAGCCCCGGA
RNAcentral lists this ribosomal RNA (505 nucleotides) under uncultured bacterium. RNAcentral describes it as "bacterial SSU rRNA". It matches the Rfam family "Bacterial small subunit ribosomal RNA", at positions 28 to 497 of the family's 1533-position model. The record is from RNAcentral.